AACGAACGCUGGCGGCAGGCUUAACACAUGCAAGUCGAACGCGUGUAGCAAUACACGAGUGGCGCACGGGUGAGUAACGCGUGGAUAUCUGCCUUUUGGUUCGGAAUAACUCCGGGAAACUGGAGCUAAUACCGGAUGGUUCCUUCGGGAUAAAGAUUUAUCGCCAAAAGAUGAGUCCGCGUACGAUUAGCUAGUUGGUGAGGUAAUGGCUCACCAAGGCGACGACCGUUAGCUGGUCUGAGAGGACGAUCAGCCACACUGGGACUGAGACACGGCCCAGUCUCCUACGGGAGGCAGCAGUGGGGAAUAUUGGACAAUGGGGGCAACCCUGAUCCAGCCAUGCCGCGUGAGUGAUGAAGGCCUUCGGGUUGUAAAGCUCUUUUGGCGGGGACGAUGAUGACGGUACCCGCAGAAUAAGCCCCGGCUAACUUCGUGCCAGCCGCCGCGGUAA
RNAcentral lists this ribosomal RNA (451 nucleotides) under uncultured bacterium. RNAcentral's name for it is "partial 16S ribosomal RNA". It matches the Rfam family "Bacterial small subunit ribosomal RNA", at positions 29 to 523 of the family's 1533-position model. The record is from RNAcentral.